Molecule: long non-coding RNA, 1015 nt
Filed under: Sparus aurata (gilthead seabream)
Lineage: Eukaryota; Metazoa; Chordata; Actinopteri; Spariformes; Sparidae
Description: lncRNA (ENSSAUG00010019541.1)
Source: RNAcentral
UACAGAGGGGACAAUCCACUUAGAAAAGUGUCCAUUCCAGUGUGGACAAGGCCUUAGAAGUGGUGAGAAGAGGCAGAAGGAGACACCCUAACCAUCUCCAUUUGUCAGUGUCACAUCAACCCGUUUCCACGAAAUCCCCUCUUCUCUGAACUCAACGGCCGCUCUGCUCGACGGCUCCGCAGACAGAGCGAAGCAUCAGGUGCGGCUCCCUUUUUGAACUUUGCAACCCGACCCCUCUGCUGCGGCCCACUCCUCCCCAAACCCUAAUCCCACUGUAAACCAGCAGGCCAUUACUCAUUCAAAGCUUCCUCUCUGCGGGUUGGCUUACCUUCCUCUCUGUCCCGAUCAUACUCUCACUCUCUCUCAGCUGCAGGCGUCUCCGCUCUGGCAAUAAAGAAUAUUAGGUGUUGCUCACUGAUGUCAGGGAAAGACAUAAAUGUAAAAAAUUUAAAUGACUUAAAAUAUUACAUUUAGAGGAAUAUUGCUUUAGGACUAAACUUAAACGUAACUGUUAGAAUUGACCAUUCACUAAGCCUCGCUCUCCAGACGCCUGUCAAGCUUUCCAUCCUCAUGCUGCACAUGCAGCUGACAGUGAUGACGGUGGUGGAAUCGACUUUUCUGAAACACUCGGUAAUUAAUUCCUUGCAGAAGUAAACCAAAGCACAGCUGACAACCAUAGAUUUCGUCGGCUAAAAUGAUGACUUUUAGUAGUGUGUUUUACAAGUGAAGCUAGCUAAUGUAAGCUUAUAAUAAGGCUUAAUCUCCAGGAGCCAAUAACUGAGAAGUCUGACUGACUUUUCAAUAUUUCAAUUGAGAUAUUUCAGAAUAAGAACUUGUAAAAGGGUCUUAAAUGUGCACUUAAAGCCUGCAUAUAUAAUUUUGUAUAAUUCAAUACAAGACUGAGACUAGAGCUACAUGUUCCAAGCAUAAUGUCAGCAUCACCAGUUUAAUAUUCAUGGAGCGGAAAUGUAGAUGGGGUAUAUAAAAAUUGGAUCAAAAUGUAAUUUGCUCUACU